UACGUGUACGCUUUAGGCUGAGGCUUGAGGACGCUUCGUCGCUGCAGUGCUUGAGAGGCGUUCUCACUCAAGCUUGUCUUCUCUCGCUACUUUCUCAGUAUGGUGACCAUCAUACCAUGAUGAUCAUCACGCUUGUCCGUACGAGCAUCGCCGUUAUUUCUGGAGAGCAUACAUGACAUUCGAUAUCACCCGGCUGGAAGAAGAAGAAGAACAGCUCGAGCCAGUCAUUCUGUUCUGACCUCCAGUCUGAGAAACGGUCCUGACAUUUCGUUGCACAGCUGAGCUGCACCACACUCUUUGAUUCUUCCGAGAACAGUUGUUUGCCAGCGAUAACUGCGAAGAUGGGUGAAGAGUCGGCAAUGUCGUCGAUGUCUGGCAUGUCUGGAAUGGAAUCCAGUCAGUCCACGGGGACUGCGACUGGCGGAGCAGGUGCAG
Long non-coding RNA from Ornithodoros turicata, 435 nucleotides. RefSeq lists it as uncharacterized. The record is from RefSeq and is a predicted model, not a curated record. The transcript is spliced from 5 exons. Lineage: Eukaryota; Metazoa; Arthropoda; Arachnida; Ixodida; Argasidae.